UCCAGCGUCAUAUAGUCCUUUCUCUAGCAUUAGAUCUUGGAGGGGAGUGACGGAGUAGAGACAAUGAACGACAUCCCAUUGUUCAAUGAGAGAGGUCAAGAUAAUUGGAGUCAUUUUAGGGUCCUCAGUGGGAAUACUAAGUAUUUUCUUGCUCUUUCUAAUCAUGCAUUCAACGAUUUUGAGAUUUCCUCUAUAUUUGCAGCAUGAUCGCUAGAGCUGUCCAACCCUCAUCAUCUGUUAAUUCCAAGUCUUCCUCUGACAUCAACUGCACCAACUCUUCCACAAUAUGCUCGUGCUCUAGUUCUGUUUCCAAGUGAAGAGCUAUCUAGUUUUUAUAUGGAAUUCUUGCUCUUAUUGCAUCAGGAUGUAGGGUAAGAAACUCCUUUGCUUCAUUCCAAUACCCACGCCACACAGCAUCGAACAACGGCUUAUACAGACUCUCGUCAUAUCCUGCACCAAGUUUGUGUUAAUUAAUUAAUUAUUUCAUACUAGCCCCUUGGCAGAUGCUCACGGAUGUGCCAAUUGGUUUUUUUUUUAAUUUUAUAUUUUAUUUUUAUAAUUAAGAAAAGAUAACAUGGGUGGUUAUGUUCCAUAAAAAUAGGACCUAUUAUAUGAUUUUAUUUUUAUUUUUAUUUUUUUAAUAUGAAAAAAAAUCAAUAUGCCAUAUUAUCCUCAUUUAAUUAAUAAUUUCAAUUCUUAAUGUUUGAAUUAACCAAGGGCAUUUUCUGGUACUUUGAAUGUUUCACCAUUCUCUGCCUUUUGCUUUAUAUAUAUAGAUAACAUAAUCCAUUUAUUUUU
Molecule: long non-coding RNA, 798 nt
Filed under: Prunus persica (peach)
Lineage: Eukaryota; Viridiplantae; Streptophyta; Magnoliopsida; Rosales; Rosaceae
Description: long non-coding RNA (PPER_LNC002394)
Source: RNAcentral